GGGACCUGUUGUGGAGGAGAGUGUCCCUAGAGUGCAGCUGGUUGGGACUGUUUGCGGCUAUCUGUCUAUGCUAAAGGAUUAUCUUUGACUUCUGGAUAUAAGGCCUAGAUGGUGGAACUUUUAACCAAGGAGGAGUGAUAGAGUAUUUGAAUUGUCUUUUGCUUCUCGGGCAUUUUUGUACAACUAAUGAUAGUCCUGCUCCCUAGUUUUGGCUCUUAGCUGGAUAGCUCUACCCUUAUCUAUGUAUAAUCAUACUACAACAGCGACAUCUCUGGAGAACAUAUUGUUUUGAGUUUACCCUCUAUAUAUCUGUGAGGUCGGCUAUUUAAAGAGACA
Molecule: long non-coding RNA, 336 nt
Organism: Hyla sarda
Lineage: Eukaryota; Metazoa; Chordata; Amphibia; Anura; Hylidae
Exons: 4
Source: RefSeq, a predicted model, not a curated record